RNAcentral lists this ribosomal RNA (25 nucleotides) under Phanerochaete avellanea. Its description in RNAcentral is "partial 25S ribosomal RNA". The record is from RNAcentral. Lineage: Eukaryota; Fungi; Basidiomycota; Agaricomycetes; Polyporales; Phanerochaetaceae.
AUCUGGCCUCAAAUCAGGUAGGACU